CAUACAGCCCUACCAUAAAUCACAGUUAAAUGAUUACAUUCCACCAGAAUAACUGCUGAAAGAAUAAACUUCCAGCCAACAGGGAGGCUAUGCUAACAGAAUGAAAACUCCAUUCAUUAACAUGGUGACUCUACUCAGCUGUGUGCCCCAUGAUAGAGUUAAACAAUAGGAAAAGGUGAACCAUCGUUGCCAAGUACCCUGAUCUGUAGCAGCUGUUAAUAAAGGUGGGGGUAUUAAGGCACUAUUUCUAUUGCCUUACAUCUGUAGUUUCCGUGCAAGGUGUGAGGUUGAAGCAUUAUCAGUGGAGCUAAUACCAUGAGUAGAAAAAGACGUUGCAGGAUGCUUCAAGCAAGGGAGGAAUCUGAACAGCGGCAAUGCUGCCCAGAAGAACCAGUAGAGAUUGAGCUUGGUUUAUUUAAAAGACAUCCCUGACUUGAAGAUGUUUACAGGCCAACUAGGCAGAACGGACAAAGGCUAAGGGGAAGUAAAAGACAAGAGAAAUGGCAUGAUCUGUUCAAAAAGAGACAGCAGGA
RNAcentral lists this long non-coding RNA (533 nucleotides) under Coturnix japonica (Japanese quail). RNAcentral's name for it is "lncRNA (ENSCJPG00005016076.1)". The record is from RNAcentral. Lineage: Eukaryota; Metazoa; Chordata; Aves; Galliformes; Phasianidae.